UACGUAGGUGGCAAGCGUUGUCCGGAAUUAUUGGGCGUAAAGCGCGCGCAGGUGGUUCUUUAAGUCUGCUGUGAAAGCCCACGGCUCAACCGUGGAGGGUCAUUGGAAACUGGGGAACUUGAGUGCAGAAGAGGAAAGUGGAAUUCCAAGUGUAGCGGUGAAAUGCGUAGAGAUUUGGAGGAACACCAGUGGCGAAGGCGACUGUCUGGUCUGUAACUGACACUGAGGCGCGAAAGCGUGGGGAGCAAACAGG
This 253-nucleotide ribosomal RNA is filed under the name uncultured bacterium. RNAcentral describes it as "partial 16S ribosomal RNA". It matches the Rfam family "Bacterial small subunit ribosomal RNA", at positions 524 to 776 of the family's 1533-position model. The record is from RNAcentral.